ACUGGCUCAGUCGGUAGAGCAUGAGACUCUUGAUCUCGGGGUUGUGAGUUCGAACCCCACGU
Felis catus (domestic cat) is the source of this 62-nucleotide transfer RNA. It matches the Rfam family "tRNA", at positions 6 to 65 of the family's 71-position model. From Rfam's summary of the family: Transfer RNA (tRNA) molecules are approximately 80 nucleotides in length. Their secondary structure includes four short double-helical elements and three loops (D, anti-codon, and T loops). The record is from Rfam. Lineage: Eukaryota; Metazoa; Chordata; Mammalia; Carnivora; Felidae.